This 253-nucleotide ribosomal RNA is filed under the name uncultured bacterium. RNAcentral describes it as "partial 16S ribosomal RNA". It matches the Rfam family "Bacterial small subunit ribosomal RNA", at positions 524 to 776 of the family's 1533-position model. The record is from RNAcentral.
UACAGAGGGUGCGAGCGUUGUCCGGAAUCACUGGGCGUAAAGGGCGCGUAGGCGGCUUGAUAAGGUUGCGGUGAAAGCCCGGGGCUCAACCUCGGGUCGGCCGUGGCAACUGUCGAGCUGGAGCACUGUAGAGGCAGGUGGAAUUCCGGGUGUAGCGGUGGAAUGCGUAGAGAUCCGGAAGAACACCGGUGGCGAAGGCGGCCUGCUGGGCAGUGGCUGACGCUGAGGCGCGAAAGCGUGGGGAGCGAUCCGG